AGCCAUACAACUCAGCAGGAGUUGGCAAACCUUUCCUGUAAAGGGUCAGAUAGUGAGUAUUUGAAAAUAUUUUCAACUACUCAACUCUGCCACGGCAGCACAAAAGCGGCCAUAGACAAAAGGCACACAAGCGGGCGGGGCUGUGUUCUAAUAAAACUUUAUUUAUGGACAUUAAAAUGCCACAUUUUCGCAUGUCACAAAAUAUUCUUCUUUUGAAGUUUUCAAUCGUUGAAAAUGUAAAAAGCAUUUUUCCCUCACAGACCGUACAAAAGCAGGCAUGGAGGCAAUACUGUGGCCUCUGGGCCAUCGUUCGUACACACCUUCCCCAAAAGGCUCAGAUAGGCGAGAGAGCAGGGAGGCUCCAGAGUUGGCUGGAGUCUAGUUGGCUGAGUCCAGUCACUCAGGUUGGCUGCAGCCCAGGAGUCCCAGGAGCGAGGAGCAGCAGGGCUGGGCCAAGAGUGGAGAGGGCUGAGGACAAACCCAUAGGGCCUCGAAGGCCCCAGGAAGAGAUGUUGUCACAGCUGACUCAGCCCCGUGCUCAGACUCCAGUGUUACCAGGUCCUGAAUGUGAGACGCAGGCGUCUGCUUCUCCGAGCUUCAGUUACUUCAGCUGUAAAAUGGGACACUGGCAUUGACCUUGAAGGGCUCAGCACUGGGUUCCCAAGGCCCUUUUUAAGAUCCAAUUUCCCUGGUGCUUUGAGGAGGGUGGGGGACAUCAGAAGACCCUCUUGCUGGGAACAUCCACUUCCCGAUGCCUCCUCCUUUGACGUCGUGAGCCACAGGCCACCAAGCAGGUUCUGCGGCAGCAACUCAGAAGAGCCCUCUGGAGUAGGAGAGCCUGGAUCCCGGUGCCCAAGGUGGGCACAGCCUGCAAGCAGCUCUGCUUGGAGAAGUCCCGCUUCCUAGGGCUCAUUCCGACUGUGCACAUGACACUUUCGGGAGUAGGUCAAGAGCCCCAGGCGUCAUUUGAACAGGAAGUUCUCGGGUCACAUCAAAUGUUCCAUGUUGCCAACCCUCCAUGUAACCCCUUUUCAGGAAGUCAUCGGUCUCACUGGCAGGGUGGGGGAGGGCCUGUCAUGAGUCCCGUCUCCAGUGUCCCUCUGUUCAGUGCAUUUGGCGUAACCCCCAGCUGUAUGCACUGGGCCCCCAGGGCUGCCUCCCCCUACGUCCCCCACAGCAGCCCAGCAUGGGGAGAAAACAUCCUAAAAUCACCAGGGGCUCCAGGGAAAAGCCGAGAGGGGGCACGUGGCUGGUAUGAGAGCCAGGAAUGCCCAUGUGUUCAGGAUGGCGGAGGCAAUGAGGAAAGAAUGGCCCGAUCUUCUCUCUGUUCCCUGCCUGUCAGUGUCAUUCCCACUGGGUUCUAAAUCCCCCUAGCAUGUUCACAGGUAGCUCGCUGCACCCAGAGACCCCACCAGGCAGAUAAACUUCUUUGUCCCACAGACAGAAUUCCUCGACCUAGUCUUGCCUUCUUCCCCCUGCUGUCGUCCUCAUCCCACUUCCAGCUGUGCCUGAAGAGAAUCUGAGGGUCAGACUGGAGGGCGGGGAAGGAGAGGCCGAGCUGCCCCAUUCACAGCGUUCAGGACUGUCUCUGCCCCAGGUUCCCUGACUCCUGGAAGUUUCUGGAGUCCUAGACAGGUCCUCUUGGCACUUUAGGAACCAGCUCAGGGCCUGCCUCUUCCUGGAAGCCCUUCCUGUGCGUGCUGAUGGUCUUGGAAUCAAAGCGCAGCUGCUGAGGAAGUAACUGGGAAAAGCAAAGGCCAGAACUGCAGGGUUGAGGAGGAGGAGACAGUGAGGAGAAGCCCACAGUUCAUCUCCGGGGCUCCUCCAGGUGGCUGGCGGAGCGGCUGAGUGGCCCGAGGACUUCCUUUCCCAGGAGGCUGUGCCACAGACUUGGAGCUGUGGGGUGGGGUGGCGGGUAAGAGGGCAGGCUCUCUCCUGGGCAGCACAAAGGAAGCGUCCAGGGGGCCCAAGACAGCUGUCUCACUGUGCGGUCUGAGCACCCCCAGCCCGGGCAUGUGAGCAGAGCUGACUAACUCUUGCAGGAAGUGGCCUCAAGCUGGGAGGGAAUGGUUGGAAGGCCGACUGGGAAGCGGGGCUCAGAGGGUGCUCCCCAGCCUGGCCCCUGACUCAUGAGAGCACACUGUGCCCUUUGAGGGUGGCCUGCUUUAGCCAUCUCUGCGGGUGCUGCAGGGGAACAGGGAAAUGAGGAACCAGCAUCUGCCCACAGCCUCCCUUCUCCCACAGAGGCAGGCUCCAGGCCUCAGCUCCCACCCUUCCACCAACUCACCUCCCCGCCUCACCUGGUUUUCCUAUUUUUUUUGUUCUCCAGGCUUUUCCCAUGGGAAAAUCCCACCCACCAUUCCAGGCCAGCCAGAAAGCCUCUCCCUGACACCUGACCAAGUGUUCCCUGCUGGCUCACAGGUAGCCAAGCCCCAGAGGUCUGAUAUGUGACUUCCCGGCAGGAUGCUGUGAUCUCCAAGGGCAGGGUCCCUGGAGGGAGCCGGGGCUGUACAAUGUUGGCCCUCAGCAGGGUCUCCAGGCAGGACUGCUUCCUCAGGCCAGUCCAUGGUUCCUCCACCCUGGCUCCCACUCCCCAUCCCCCCUGGCCUCAGGGAGCUGACAAGGCCAGAGGCCCCUGAAUUCCUGCCCGAGGGCUCACCCCUGCCCUCGGUUUCACAGACCACCUUUGUGUAGGUCACUGUUGCUGAGCUCUUUCUAGCCCAGCACAAACCUGGGGCCUGGUCUUAGUGACUGACCCACCGGAGAGCUCCCAGUAACUCCCAGUAACUUCUCUGCCAGUCAUCGGCUGCUGCUCCUGUCCCUUUGAGGAACUAACGACUGUUCUGUGAGUCAGUAACUAGGGGCAGAGGGAGGGGUGACAGACUCAUUGCAGAUAUCAGGUGAUCACUGCAGAUAUCAUGUGAUCGCUGCGGCCUUGGAGCCAGAGGCGUCCCUGUUUCUGCUUCCCCAAGAGGACAUUCUCCUCCCAUGGGGAAGGCCCCCACUCACUAUACAUUUGCGGCAUCUAACCUAGAUGGGCUCGAGAAAGCCACUCCGCACAGCAGAAAGAGCACUGGCUGGGAGCAAGUGAGUCUGGGCUCCCCACGGCUGGCAAGAGACUCCCCUUCUCUGAACCUCAACUUCAAGGGGGUGGCCCUCAGAAACCCUAAGAAUGCUCACAGUUUUGUGACCUCUUGAAGUCCAUGUACAUGAAGCAGCUGCGGGCUCAGCCACAUCCUGAAGGAUCCCAUGAGGAUGAGUCCUCGUUAGCAUCUGUCUGCCCUGGCUCCUAGAAGAACCUGUGAUGCUGUGAUGAAGCUUUGAAGUCAGGCAGUCCUGGGUUCAAGUACCGGCUCUGCCUCUUACCAGUACAUUUUGCACCUUUCUGAACUUGAUUUCCAGAUGAGGAGAUCUGAGGCCCCAGGAGGGAAGGAAAGCACCCAAGAUACCAGGCGGGACCCUGGGCCUGCUGGCCUGCAGCUCUGCACUCCUUCUCCAGAGGGCUUGCCCUAGAAGGAGCCAGGGUGCUGGGAAGGCUGUUCCACUUUCAAGGGCUGAAAUGAAGGUGGUUGUGUCUCACAGCCUGGCUGGCAAGGCUAGUUCCUCCACCCUGGAGCAUCUGUAGAUACACCACAGACACAGUGAGGGGAGCAGACAGGCUGGGACCACCUGGCCCUGGAGGGAAGCCCUGGGAAGGCUGGCUAGGCUGCCUCCUGGGCUGCCUCCUGGGGCUGCAGCCGG
RNAcentral lists this long non-coding RNA (3741 nucleotides) under Homo sapiens (human). RNAcentral's name for it is "long non-coding RNA NONHSAT181393.1". The record is from RNAcentral. Lineage: Eukaryota; Metazoa; Chordata; Mammalia; Primates; Hominidae.